This 467-nucleotide ribosomal RNA is filed under the name uncultured bacterium. RNAcentral describes it as "partial 16S ribosomal RNA". It matches the Rfam family "Bacterial small subunit ribosomal RNA", at positions 28 to 507 of the family's 1533-position model. The record is from RNAcentral.
GACGAACGCUGGCGGCGUGCUUAACACAUGCAAGUCGAACGGAAAGGCCUCUUUCGGGGGGUACUCGAGUGGCGAACGGGUGAGUAACACGUGAGUAACCUGCCCUUGACUUUGGGAUAACUUCAGGAAACUGGGGCUAAUACCGGAUAGGAGCUCCUGCUGCAUGGUGGGGGUUGGAAAGUUUCGGCGGUUGGGGAUGGACUCGCGGCUUAUCAGCUUGUUGGUGGGGUAGUGGCUUACCAAGGCUUUGACGGGUAGCCGGCCUGAGAGGGUGACCGGCCACAUUGGGACUGAGAUACGGCCCAGACUCCUACGGGGGGCAGCAGUGGGGAAUAUUGCACAAUGGGUGGAAGCCUGAUGCAGCAACGCCGUGUGCGGGAUGACGGCCUUCGGGUUGUAAACCGCUUUCGCUCAUGACGAAGCUUUGUGUGACGGUAGUGGGUAAAGAAGCACCGGCUAACUACGUG